RNAcentral lists this ribosomal RNA (498 nucleotides) under uncultured bacterium. RNAcentral's name for it is "partial 16S ribosomal RNA". It matches the Rfam family "Bacterial small subunit ribosomal RNA", at positions 30 to 523 of the family's 1533-position model. The record is from RNAcentral.
AUUGAACGCUGGCGGCAUGCCUUACACAUGCAAGUCGAACGGUAACAGGUCUUCGGAUGCUGACGAGUGGCGAACGGGUGAGUAAUACAUCGGAACGUGCCUAGUAGUGGGGGAUAACUACUCGAAAGAGUGGCUAAUACCGCAUGAGAUCUACGGAUGAAAGCAGGGGAUCGCAAGACCUUGUGCUACUAGAGCGGACGAUGGCAGAUUAGGUAGUUGGUGGGAUAAAAGCUUACCAAGCCGACGAUCUGUAGCUGGUCUGAGAGGACGAUCAGCCACACUGGGACUGAGAAACGGCCCAGACUCCUACGGGAGGCAGCAGUGGGGAAUUUUGGACAAUGGGCGCAAGCCUGAUCCAGCAAUGCCGCGUGCAGGAUGAAGGCCUUCGGGUUGUAAACUGCUUUUGUACGGAACGAAAAGCCCCGGGUUAAUACCCUGGGGUCAUGGCGGUACCGUAAGAAUAAGCACCGGCUAACUACGUGCCAGCAGCCGCCGUAA